This 805-nucleotide long non-coding RNA is filed under the name Linum usitatissimum (flax). RNAcentral describes it as "long non-coding RNA (LUSI_LNC006505)". Lineage: Eukaryota; Viridiplantae; Streptophyta; Magnoliopsida; Malpighiales; Linaceae. The record is from RNAcentral.
UUCAUCCAUUCAUUAUCAAAACCACCUCCCAUUCUCCUCCGACUUAACCAAAUCAAUCGCACUAAUCGAACCGUUGUUAAACCAUCAUCAUUUCAAGUAAGAUCGAUCAUGGGUUUCUUGUCACGAAGGAAGAUGUCGGACGCCGUAGUGGUUUACUCGAUUUUAUUGGUUUUGGUUAUUCUAUCAGCAUCGGUUUUCCAGUAUGGUGAAACGAGACCACUGAAGGAAGAUGGUGGCAACGACAAUUUGUUUAUAGUACUACAGUCUCUACAGAAAGGUCCGGUUAGCGGGUCGGGUCCGAACCCAUGCACCAACAUCCCCGGUCGGAACCCAGGAUCAUGUUAGAUCAUAAGUUGCUUUAUUUAGCUUUUGAUUUUGAUUUAUGGUACAGAUACGGAUGUAAAAGGUUCGACAGUACACCUUGGUAUCUUAUAGCAAAAAUGAUUAUGUAUUAACUGUUAAUUAGCUGCUUAGUUAAUUAACUGUACGUGUAAUUUACUAUUUUUUUUUAUCUUUUUCAUUUUUCGUAACACAGUUUAGAAAUAGUAAUAAUUAUUGGAGGAAAUGCAAACAGUAUAUGUUGUAUUUCUAACUUCAUUUUCUUUUACUUGAUCUUAUUUACUUGGUUGAAAUCAAUGACCUAAUCUUCCACUACGUAGCAACUCAUUCGGUAGAUUUUAGGAGGGAAUAAAAGACAUUGAUUUGUGAUGUGGCUCCCUAUAAAUAGGGUAUUUAGCCCCGCGAUUUGAAGAAAUCGAUUUCCCUUCUUUGUUGAUCUAUAUAAUAAGUUUCUGACCAAAACUCC